Molecule: long non-coding RNA, 2711 nt
Filed under: Homo sapiens (human)
Lineage: Eukaryota; Metazoa; Chordata; Mammalia; Primates; Hominidae
Description: HSALNT0195534
Source: RNAcentral
AUGAAUCAUGAACUCAGCAAACGUCAGAAGAGCCUAAAACUCAUCAAUUGGUAAAUAUCAUUUGUGCAGUGUUUAAGAGGGCAGAUAACUUGCCUCCUCAUACAACCCUCAUGCAGAUGAGAAGUAGGUAAUUAAGUCCAUCUUAGCCAUCUCCUCCCAACUCCUUUAUUCUUCCUCGUGAGGAUCUGCAGUCUCAGUCUUUGAUCUUUCUUUGCUCUGUCCUGAAGUUUCCCCGGCCAUGGAAGGAGUCUUGAGCAGAGUGUGAGAAUGGCCAGGUGGCGGAAGUGUCUGAGAAGAUCCUGCAUCGAUCCAGAAGCAGUGGGAUAAGGAAGGAGCACUGGAUGGAAGUCAGGUGUCCUGGGGCCCAGCGCUGGCCCUGCCACACAUGGUGUGAGCGCUGAACCCCUGUCCACCUAGCAAAGGUCACAUGAUGUCCUGGACCCCUGUCCUGUCCUGGACCCAUGUCCUGUCCUGGACCCAUGUCCUGUCCUGGACCCCCUGUCCACCCAGCAAAGGUCACAUGAUGUCCUGGACACCUGUCCUGUCCUGGACCCCUGUCCACCCAGCAAAGGUUACAUGAUGCUGUCUGUAAGCUUCUUUUUAUGGUUCUGAUAUCCAAAGCCACUUAAUAGCGUGGAACUUCCACUUCUCCAGUUUAAAAGGUUAAAUAUGUAUAUCAGGCUGGCUGGGCUCAGUGGCUCACGUCUAUAGUCCCAGCUACUGGGGAGGCUGAGGUGGGAGGAUCACUUAAGCCUGGGAGGCGGAGGUUGCAGUAAGCCAAGAUGGUGCCACUGCACUCCAGCCUGGGUGACAGCGAGCCCCUGUCUCAAAAACUGUAUAUGUAUAUAAGGGCCUACAUUUUUGGUUAGGGAGAGAAAGAGAAUGAAUAAGAAGCUGGUUCUUGUAUCUUGAGUCAUUACAAACUCCUCUCUCUCCCCCUGCCUGAGGCGUCCUCCUUCUUCAUUCUCUAUUCAGUUUGCAAGGCUGUUAUUCCUGCCAAAUGAGUCAUUGAUGUGGGAAAGUUAAUUUAUUUUGGCAGACAUCACCAUUGCUCCGAGAAAUAGAGACUAUGCACCCACUGUCGCAGAAGACACAAAUUAUCGUGGUGAUUCAUUCAUUCCUCCCUGCAUUCAUUCAUUCCCAGAAUACGUGAUUGUUUCUGGAACAUACACAAAUGGGCAACCCUACCUGUUGUUUUCUGUCUCAGAGAGUAGAUGUGAGAAUUAAAUGAGGUAAUAUGUAAAAGUGCUUAUAUAAUAAUAAUAAUAACUAAUCCUGAUUGAGCACGUAUUACGUGUCAAGCUGCGUGGUAAGCCUUUUACCUGCUUUAUUUAUUGUCUUUGAUCCUAACACUGCUCUGCAGGGCAGGGAUAAUGAGUACUUUAUUUCAGAGAUUCAGAGAUUGAAGCUAGGGCAGGUCAAGGUGACCUGGCCACAAGUCAUUAAACAGUGCACAAGUGGCAGAGGGAAGCCAGCCCUGAGUCUGGACUUGAAAAUAUUGCAUCAUGACCCAUAUUUAUAAGGUGGAAGCAGAACCCUGCUGCCCGUGUCUGGGUGGGCGAGAGACUGGGGAAACACGGCCAGGAAGCAGCCCGGCAGAUGGGGGCUGAGCGCACUGGCAGGGGCAGGAGGAGCUGCAGAUCUUUUCUCAGUUGAGCUUCAGAUGAGACCACAGCCCCAGCCAGCUUCUUAAGUGCAGCCUCAUAAGAAACCGUAAGCAGAGAACCAAGAUAAACCAUGCCUGAACUCCUGAUCCACAGAAACUGUGAAAUAACACAUCCCAGAGCCCCCUGCAUCUCCUGGGAGGACGAGGAUGGAUGGAAGCGUGCUGCCAACGCUGGGACACCUGCUUGCUUUCUGGGCAGUGGCCAGGAAAUCGCAUCUGCUGCCAGAAGAGAGCACCUGCACAUCCCGGAGAAGGGAAGGGGACAGAGCCGUGUGAUUCUAGCAGAGGAACACCCAUAGGAUUCCUUCUGUUGUUCCCAAGGUCCAGGCUCCCAGGCUGAGUAGGCAGGAAGGAGAAUGUGUCUUCACACAGGAAGCCUCACUGCCCAGAACAUGGGACAGAUCUAGCUGGAGCUGUGCUCAAACAGCUGUGGAGGCAUUAUAAAUCUCUCUCCCCGAGAUGAGGUUCAGAGGCUCUUGACAUGCCCUGCUAAUGGUAAAUCUUCCAGUGCCCACAGAGCAAGCCCUGGACUCUUAGAGCAUCAAGGUGAGACUGCCUGCCCCCCUUAAGCCUGUUAAUGGCAUCAGUGAUGUAUUCCCCUCCAAAUGUGGAAGGCUGCCUCUUUCUUCAUUGGAAGCAUCAAGGGAGUUUUAACUGUAAAACAGACUGUGCUUCAAAUCCCAUCUAAAUGCCUCAUCCUGAAGCUCUGACCUGCCACUUUUCUGCAAAUGACACUGGGUGAUUUGAAUGGGAUUAGAUUGGACAGUGGCCCCUGGCUGUUGUUUAAGUUUGUGUGGGUUUUGUUGUUUGUUUGUUUUAAUGCAACCUGUCUUUAAAUCUUCACUUUCAAAAAAAAAAAAAAGUGGUCAUUAGCCUUAUUUUUUAUUUAGAGGAUGUGAAGUCAGAAGUUCCCUUCCCUGAUUUAUUACCUCAUAGGUUUAUGACUUUGAAGAAUCAUUUCAUCUCUUUUAGUUUCCUCAUCUGUAGAAAGGUGAUUGUAAACUCUUUCUUAUCGGCUGGAUACAAAGAUGAAAUGAGAUAUCCU